This 73-nucleotide transfer RNA is filed under the name candidate division WOR-1 bacterium RIFCSPHIGHO2_02_FULL_45_12. Its description in RNAcentral is "tRNA-Glu". It matches the Rfam family "tRNA". From Rfam's summary of the family: Transfer RNA (tRNA) molecules are approximately 80 nucleotides in length. Their secondary structure includes four short double-helical elements and three loops (D, anti-codon, and T loops). Further hydrogen bonds mediate the characteristic L-shaped molecular structure. tRNAs have two regions of fundamental functional importance: the anti-codon, which is responsible for specific mRNA codon recognition, and the 3' end, to which the tRNAs corresponding amino acid is attached (by aminoacyl-tRNA synthetases). tRNAs cope with the degeneracy of the genetic code in two manners: having more than one tRNA (with a specific anti-codon) for a particular amino acid; and 'wobble' base-pairing, i.e. permitting non-standard base-pairing at the 3rd anti-codon position. RNAcentral also lists the same sequence under 2 other names. Lineage: Bacteria; Bacillati. The record is from RNAcentral.
GGCCUCAUCGUCUAACGGUUUAGGACGUAGCCCUCUCAAGGCUAAAAUCGGGGUUCAAUUCCCCGUGGGGCUA